RNAcentral lists this long non-coding RNA (207 nucleotides) under Pan troglodytes (chimpanzee). Its description in RNAcentral is "long non-coding RNA NONPTRT012625". Lineage: Eukaryota; Metazoa; Chordata; Mammalia; Primates; Hominidae. The record is from RNAcentral.
AGAUCACCCAGUCUCCUGUAUUGAGAAUGGAUUUGACCGAGGUGUCAGAAAUUGGGGAAGAUUACUGCCUGAGACAGCACAGGGCAGCGACAGUGAGAGAUGAAGGCAACAUCAGUGUGCGCCAGAGUUUUGCAACUCCACACGCAGUCCAUCAUGGACCAACAACUGCAGCAUCACCUAGGAGCUAUUAGAAGUACAGAAUCUCAG